UACGUAGGGUGCAAGCGUUAAUCGGAAUUACUGGGCGUAAAGCGAGCGUAGUCGGUUAUUUAAGUCGGGUGUGGAAGCCCCGGGCUCAACCUGGGAAUUGCAUUCGAUACUGGAUAGCUAGAGUUCGGCAGAGGGAAGCGGAGUUUCCGGUGUAGCGGUGAAAUGCGUAGAUAUCGGAAGGAACAUCAGUGGCGAAAGCGGCUUCCUGGACCAGAACUGACGAUCAGGCUCGAAAGCGUGGGGAGCAAACAGG
RNAcentral lists this ribosomal RNA (253 nucleotides) under uncultured bacterium. RNAcentral describes it as "partial 16S ribosomal RNA". It matches the Rfam family "Bacterial small subunit ribosomal RNA", at positions 524 to 776 of the family's 1533-position model. The record is from RNAcentral.